CCUACGGGCGGCAGCAGUGGGGAAUAUUGGACAAUGGGGGCAACCCUGAUCCAGCCAUGCCGCGUGUGUGAAGAAGGCCCUCGGGUUGUAAAGCACUUUCAGUGGGGAGGAACGCCUGUAGGUUAAUACCUAGCAGGAAUGACAUCACUCACAGAAUAAGCACCGGCUAACUCCGUGCCAGCAGCCGCGGUAAUACGGAGGGUGCAAGCGUUAAUCGGAAUUACUGGGCGUAAAGCGCGCGUAGGUGGCUUGAUAAGCUGGUUGUGAAAGCCCCGGGCUCAACCUGGGAACGGCCUCCGAACUGUCUAGCUAGAGUGCAGUAGAGGAUAGUAGAAUUCCCGGUGUAGCGGUGAAAUGCGUAGAGAUCGGGAGGAAUACCAGUGGCGAAGGCGGCCUUCUGGACUGAUACUGACACUGAGGUGCGAAAGCGUGGGUAGCAAACAGGAUUAGAUACCCCAGUAGUC
Molecule: ribosomal RNA, 464 nt
Filed under: Vreelandella stevensii
Lineage: Bacteria; Pseudomonadati; Pseudomonadota; Gammaproteobacteria; Oceanospirillales; Halomonadaceae
Description: partial 16S ribosomal RNA
Rfam family: Bacterial small subunit ribosomal RNA
Source: RNAcentral